RNAcentral lists this long non-coding RNA (416 nucleotides) under Brassica rapa (field mustard). RNAcentral's name for it is "long non-coding RNA (BRAP_LNC003751)". The record is from RNAcentral. Lineage: Eukaryota; Viridiplantae; Streptophyta; Magnoliopsida; Brassicales; Brassicaceae.
GCAAUCCAUCUGCAGAUCAAUCAAUCUCCUCCUCGCUUUUCUGCUUGUAAGUCUCUGUCUUCCUCUGAUUUUUAAUUUAGAGUGUUCCAGUUCGAUUAUUUCAUUUUCCUAAAUUCCUCCAAUUUUUUCAAGAUUUGUAAUAAAAUUUUAACCGUUUGUUUCGCAUCUCCACAAGCUUUUAUUUUGUUGCUUAUUGAAUCUCAGAACAGUAUUACGUUUUGGUGUUUAUCUGAUAGGUUUAGGAAAGCUUAUAUACAUAAGAAGUUGAGGGGAAAAGAGAAGGUGACAGAGGAAAGCAAGGGAAAUAUUUCAAAUGGAGAACAUGUGGGUUGAGAAGGAGUCUUUGAAGAAUAAGAAAGUCUAAGACCUUUGGUUUGAGAGGGAGGCUUUGCAGUUACGGAAGAGAAGUGAGGAGC